AAUUUAGAAUUUAGAUCAAUUAGAAGCAUGCAGUUGUAAUUGUAGAUCGGAUCGCGAAACGAGUCUGAAACCUAAUUUUGAUCACAUAAAAGUAGUU
Molecule: small RNA, 97 nt
Filed under: Arabidopsis thaliana (thale cress)
Lineage: Eukaryota; Viridiplantae; Streptophyta; Magnoliopsida; Brassicales; Brassicaceae
Description: ATSL228920
Source: RNAcentral